UUUGCAACAGUCUCUGGUGUUGAUGUAAGUUUAUCCUCGCACAUACUUGUCCCGAUGGUGCGCCUGUUUUGGCUUGGUGGUGUACCCUUCAGGGUUGGGUUUGCCUAAGUCAUUGGUUCUUUGGUUAUCUUCGGUCUUAUGUUUCUCAGGAGUGUCUGGGAGUUAUGAUCAGUCCACCAGUUCCAACUUUAGUACAUGUGGCUCUCUAAUGCUUUUUUCUCGU
Molecule: long non-coding RNA, 223 nt
Filed under: Brassica rapa (field mustard)
Lineage: Eukaryota; Viridiplantae; Streptophyta; Magnoliopsida; Brassicales; Brassicaceae
Description: long non-coding RNA (BRAP_LNC000934)
Source: RNAcentral